AGAGUUUGAUCCUGGCUCAGAUUGAACGCUGGCGGAAUGCUUUACACAUGCAAGUCGAACGGUAGAGGGGGCAACCCCUUGAGAGUGGCGAACGGGUGAGUAAUGUAUCGGAACGUGCCCAGUCGUGGGGGAUAACGUAGUGAAAAUUACGCUAAUACCGCAUACGAUCUAUGGAUGAAAGCGGGGGAUCGCAAGACCUCGCGCGAUUGGAGCGGCCGAUAUCAGAUUAGGUAGUUGGUAGGGUAAAGGCCUACCAAGCCAACGAUCUGUAGCUGGUCUGAGAGGACGACCAGCCACACUGGAACUGAGACACGGUCCAGACUCCUACGGGAGGCAGCAGUGGGGAAUUUUGGACAAUGGGCGAAAGCCUGAUCCAGCCAUUCCGCGUGCAGGAUGAAGGCCCUCGGGUUGUAAACUGCUUUUGUACAGAACGAAAAGGUUUCUAUUAAUACUAGGAGCUCAUGACGGUACUGUAAGAAUAAGCACCGGCUAACUACGUGCCAGCAGCCGCGGUAAUACGUAGGGUGCAAGCGUUAAUCGGAAUUACUGGGCGUAAAGCGUGCGCAGGCGGUUAUAUAAGUCAGAUGUGAAAUCCCCGGGCUCAACCUGGGAACUGCAUUUGAGACUGUAUAGCUAGAGUACGGUAGAGGGGGAUGGAAUUCCGCGUGUAGCAGUGAAAUGCGUAGAUAUGCGGAGGAACACCGAUGGCGAAGGCAAUCCCCUGGACCUGUACUGACGCUCAUGCACGAAAGCGUGGGGAGCAAACAGGAUUAGAUACCCUGGUAGUCCACGCCCUAAACGAUGUCAACUGGUUGUUGGGUCUUAACUGACUCAGUAACGAAGCUAACGCGUGAAGUUGACCGCCUGGGGAGUAC
This 875-nucleotide ribosomal RNA is filed under the name uncultured bacterium. RNAcentral's name for it is "bacterial SSU rRNA". It matches the Rfam family "Bacterial small subunit ribosomal RNA", at positions 8 to 883 of the family's 1533-position model. The record is from RNAcentral.